This 253-nucleotide ribosomal RNA is filed under the name uncultured bacterium. RNAcentral describes it as "partial 16S ribosomal RNA". It matches the Rfam family "Bacterial small subunit ribosomal RNA", at positions 524 to 776 of the family's 1533-position model. The record is from RNAcentral.
UACGUAGGGGGCUAGCGUUGUUCGGAAUCAUUGGGCGUAAAGAGCGUGUAGGCGGCCCGGUAAGUCCGCUGUGAAAGUCGGGGGCUCAACCCUCGAAUGCCGGUGGAUACUGUCGGGCUAGAGUGCGGAAGAGGCGAGUGGAAUUCCUGGUGUAGCGGUGAAAUGCGCAGAUAUCAGGAGGAACACCGAUUGCGAAGGCAGCUCGCUGGGACGGUACUGACGCUGAGACGCGAAAGCGUGGGGAGCAAACAGG